This 133-nucleotide small RNA is filed under the name Escherichia sp. ESNIH1. RNAcentral's name for it is "RtT sRNA". It matches the Rfam family "RtT RNA". From Rfam's summary of the family: This family represents a bacterial cis-regulatory element known as RtT RNA. The record is from RNAcentral. Lineage: Bacteria; Pseudomonadati; Pseudomonadota; Gammaproteobacteria; Enterobacterales; Enterobacteriaceae.
UACUAUUCCGUACCGGGAAGGAUGAGAAGCUUCGACCAAGGUUCGACUCGAGCGACAGCGAGAGAGCGUUGCCGUCAGGCAACGACCCGAAGGGCGAGGUGCGAAGGACCGAGUAAUCCUUCCCCCACCACCA